This 253-nucleotide ribosomal RNA is filed under the name uncultured bacterium. RNAcentral's name for it is "partial 16S ribosomal RNA". It matches the Rfam family "Bacterial small subunit ribosomal RNA", at positions 524 to 776 of the family's 1533-position model. The record is from RNAcentral.
UACGUAGGGGGCAAGCGUUGUCCGGAUUUAUUGGGCGUAAAGAGCGUGUAGGCGGCCAGGUAGGUCAGCUGUGAAAACUCGAGGCUCAACCUCGAGACGCCGGUUGAAACCAUCUGGCUAGAGUCCGGAAGAGGAGAAUGGAAUUCCUGGUGUAGCGGUGAAAUGCGCAGAUAUCAGGAAGAACACCCGUGGCGAAGGCGGUUCUCUGGGACGGUACUGACGCUGAGACGCGAAAGCGUGGGGAGCGAACAGG